This 131-nucleotide ribosomal RNA is filed under the name Escherichia coli. Its description in RNAcentral is "partial 16S ribosomal RNA". It matches the Rfam family "Bacterial small subunit ribosomal RNA", at positions 1 to 122 of the family's 1533-position model. RNAcentral also lists the same sequence under 1 other name. The record is from RNAcentral. Lineage: Bacteria; Pseudomonadati; Pseudomonadota; Gammaproteobacteria; Enterobacterales; Enterobacteriaceae.
UUAAAUUGAAGAGUUUGAUCAUGGCUCAGAUUGAACGCUGGCGGCAGGCCUAACACAUGCAAGUCGAACGGUAACAGGAAACAGCUUGCUGUUUCGCUGACGAGUGGCGGACGGGUGAGUAAUGUCUGGGA